GUGUCUGCACUCCCUUUGGUUUUCCCUGGCUCAGGAAUUCCCAGCAUCUUCUUGUUGAGCAUCGGGACCAAGAGAGCAAAGAAUAACACAAGAAGAAUUAAGAGACAAGUGACAAAAGCCUGGAAAGGAUAGGAGGACCUGGGGAAAAGGACAGGUGAAAGUCACGAGCCACACAUCCCUUGAGGGAGGAACCUUUCUUCAUAAUGUGCAUGUAGCACCAAGAACAGCAGAGUUUAAACUGACUUAAGUGCUUAUUCAUUAGGGCGCAAAAUAAUGCAAAUAGGAAAUUAAUAGUAUUAAGACUCUACUUGAAUGCUUGAAUGUAGAACAGUUUUACUUUUCAAAUAGC
RNAcentral lists this long non-coding RNA (349 nucleotides) under Phasianus colchicus (ring-necked pheasant). RNAcentral describes it as "lncRNA (ENSPCLG00000003375.1)". Lineage: Eukaryota; Metazoa; Chordata; Aves; Galliformes; Phasianidae. The record is from RNAcentral.